RNAcentral lists this ribosomal RNA (468 nucleotides) under uncultured bacterium. Its description in RNAcentral is "partial 16S ribosomal RNA". It matches the Rfam family "Bacterial small subunit ribosomal RNA", at positions 28 to 507 of the family's 1533-position model. The record is from RNAcentral.
GACGAACGCUGGCGGCGUGCUUAACACAUGCAAGUCGAACGGAAAGGCCCUGCUUUUGUGGGGUGCUCGAGUGGCGAAAGGGUGAGUAACACGUGAGUAACCUGCCCUUGACUUUGGGAUAACUUCAGGAAACUGGGGCUAAUACCGGAUAGGAGCUCCUGCAGCAUGGUGGGGGUUGGAAAGUUUCGGCGGUUGGGGAUGGACUCGCGGCUUAUCAGCUUGUUGGUGGGGGAGUGGCUUACCAAGGCUUUGACGGGUAGCCGGCCUGAGAGGGUGACCGGCCACAUUGGGACUGAGAGACGGCCCAGACUCCUACGGGAGGCAGCAGUGGGGAAUAUUGCACAAUGGGCGGAAGCCUGAUGCAGCAACGCCGCGUGCGGGAUGACGGCCUUCGGGUUGUAAACCGCUUUCGCCUGUGACGAAGCGUGAGUGACGGUAAUGGGUAAAGAAGCACCGGCUAACUACGUG